UAGGAUAAAUAUUAUUUGAAAUAAAUCAAUGUAUAUGGAUUAUAUGAUUUUAUGUGUAGUAUAUGAGUGGGUGUAUAUGUAUGCUCAAGUGUGAACAAAGGGCAAAAUGGACCUAAGUGUGCUACUAAGUGCUGAGAAUUGGCUGGUGUCCCAAAAUGAGAGUCACUCCUUCUUUUCUUCACGUUAUAGGCCAUUGGCCUAGUCCCUCA
RNAcentral lists this long non-coding RNA (209 nucleotides) under Panax ginseng (ginseng). Its description in RNAcentral is "long non-coding RNA (PGIN_LNC007424)". Lineage: Eukaryota; Viridiplantae; Streptophyta; Magnoliopsida; Apiales; Araliaceae. The record is from RNAcentral.